ACUCCUACGGGAGGCAGCAGUGGGGAAUAUUGGACAAUGGGGGGAACCCUGAUCCMKCCAUGCCGCGUGUGUGAAGAAGGCCUUAUGGUUGUAAAGCACUUUAAGCGAGGAGGAGGCUACUGAGACUAAUACUCUUGGAUAGUGGACGUUACUCGCAGAAUAAGCACCGGCUAACUCUGUGCCAGCAGCCGCGGUAAU
This 198-nucleotide ribosomal RNA is filed under the name uncultured Acinetobacter sp. Its description in RNAcentral is "partial 16S ribosomal RNA". It matches the Rfam family "Bacterial small subunit ribosomal RNA", at positions 335 to 524 of the family's 1533-position model. Lineage: Bacteria; Pseudomonadati; Pseudomonadota; Gammaproteobacteria; Moraxellales; Moraxellaceae. The record is from RNAcentral.